RNAcentral lists this ribosomal RNA (613 nucleotides) under uncultured bacterium. RNAcentral's name for it is "bacterial SSU rRNA". The stretch from base 1 to 523 matches the Rfam family "Bacterial small subunit ribosomal RNA", at positions 338 to 873 of the family's 1533-position model. The record is from RNAcentral.
CCUACGGGAGGCAGCAGUGGGGAAUAUUGGGCAAUGGGAGGAAACUCUGACCCAGCGACGCCGCGUGCGGGAUGAAGGCCUUCGGGUUGUAAACCGCUUUCAGUAGGGAAGAAGCGAAAGUGACGGUACCUACAGAAGAAGCACCGGCUAACUAUGUGCCAGCAGCCGCGGUAAUACAUAGGGUGCAAGCGUUGUCCGGAAUUAUUGGGCGUAAAGAGCUCGUAGGUGGUUCGUCACGUCGGAUGUGAAAAUCUGGGGCUCAACCCCAGACCUGCAUUCGAUACGGGCGAUCUAGAGUGUGGUAGGGGAGACUGGAAUUCCUGGUGUAGCGGUGGAAUGCGCAGAUAUCAGGAGGAACACCAAUGGCGAAGGCAGGUCUCUGGGCCAUUACUGACACUGAGGAGCGAAAGCGUGGGGAGCGAACAGGAUUAGAUACCCUGGUAGUCCACGCCGUAAACGGUGGGCACUAGUUGUGGGAACCUUCCACGGUUUCUGCGACGCAGCUACGUCAUAGUAGCCCGCCGUCGGGAGGUACGAGUCGCGAGAGUAAACGUACGUAAAGUAAAGUUAGUUAGACGUAGAGAGUAGCGACGGACGACGACGAGGGAGGAGG